This 468-nucleotide ribosomal RNA is filed under the name uncultured bacterium. RNAcentral describes it as "partial 16S ribosomal RNA". It matches the Rfam family "Bacterial small subunit ribosomal RNA", at positions 28 to 507 of the family's 1533-position model. The record is from RNAcentral.
GACGAACGCUGGCGGCGUGCUUAACACAUGCAAGUCGAACGGAAAGUCCCUGCUUUUGGGGGGUGCUCGAGUGGCGAACGGGUGAGUAACACGUGAGUAACCUGCCCUUGACUGUGGGAUAACUUCAGGAAACUGGGGCUAAUACCGGAUAGGAGCUCCUGCUGCAUGGUGGGGGUUGGAAAGUUUCGGCGGUUGGGGAUGGACUCGCGGCUUAUCAGCUUGUUGGUGGGGUGGUGGCUUACCAAGGCUUUGGCGGGUAGCCGGCCUGAGAGGGUGACCGGCCACAUUGGGACUGAGCUAAGGACCAGACUCCUACGGGCGGCAGCAGUGGGGAAUAUUGCACAAUGGGCGGAAGCCUGAUGCAGCAACGCCGCGUGCGGGAUGACGGCCUUCGGGUUGUAAACCGCUUUCGCCUGUGACGAAGCGUGAGUGACGGUAAUGGGUAAAGAAGCACCGGCUAACUACGUG